UAUAUAUAUAUAUAUAUAUAUAUAUAGCCACACACACACCAUAUGUAUAUACAUGUGUAUAUAAGUUCUGUUCUUUGAAGCUAUAUUUGGUUUUACACCCAUUUUUUUUUCCAUGCUGGCAUGGGUUAAACAAUACUUUUUGCACCAGAGCUUCCAUAUCCAGGUGCUCUUUCUGUCACCAACAUUUACCUGUUAGCCGAGAAAGCUAUUUUUCUAUUUUUCUUGUUCUCACCAUCGAAAGCUAAACCCAAUGCAUACGUACAUUCUUACAUACAUACAUACAUACAUACAUACAUACAUACAUACAUACAUACAUACAUACAUACAUACAUACAUACAUACAACACACUCAACAAGUUGAGGCUUUCAGCCAAAGAAAAUGAUGAGCGAACUUUCUAACUUUGUAGGUGAAAACUUGUAAGUGGAACAGUAAAUAUAUGCAAGACUUUUCUAAAGUUCAGCAAGCAAAUAUUCAGUGUUAUUUCUAUCUAAAGGACAUUGAUGGAGCUGUUUGAAACGAACCUGUGCUUUAGAGGAAGAAUUCAAGACAUUAAAAAGAAUAAAAUGAAACAUAGAGAUACUGGUGUAUAUAUAAUAUACAUACAUUCAUAUAUACCAUAAUAUAGUUCUUUAUUUUCUUGCUUUAUAUACAUAUAUAUCUAUAUUUGCGAGAGGGUGUAUAAAUACAAUUAGGUGCAUUGUGUAUAUGACAUAUCUGUGAAUAUGUAUGUUUAUAUGUUAUGUAAGUAUAUAUAUAUAUAUGAAUAAAUAAAUAUAUAUGUGCUUGUGUGCAUGGAUGUGUUGGUGUGUAUGUGUGUGCAUGUGUGUGCAUUUGUGACAUAUGUAAAAAUAGAAGUUAUAUAUGUUUCACUGGGUGGUGUAUAUGUAUGUAUAUAUGUAUAUAUUUUGUAUAUAUAUAUAGAU
Long non-coding RNA from Octopus sinensis (East Asian common octopus), 924 nucleotides. RefSeq lists it as uncharacterized. NCBI's taxonomy places the organism in Eukaryota, Metazoa, Mollusca, Cephalopoda, Octopoda, Octopodidae. The transcript is spliced from 3 exons. The record is from RefSeq and is a predicted model, not a curated record.